This 455-nucleotide ribosomal RNA is filed under the name uncultured bacterium. RNAcentral's name for it is "bacterial SSU rRNA". It matches the Rfam family "Bacterial small subunit ribosomal RNA", at positions 9 to 507 of the family's 1533-position model. The record is from RNAcentral.
CGAGUUUGAUCAUGGCUCAGAACGAACGCUGGCGGCAGGCUUAACACAUGCAAGUCGAACGGGUGCAGCAAUGCAUCAGUGGCAGACGGGUGAGUAACACGUGGGAACCUUCCUAGGGGUACGGAACAACUCAGGGAAACUUGAGCUAAUACCGUAUACGUCCGUGAGGAGAAAGAUUUAUCGCCCUUAGACGGGCCCGCGUCGGAUUAGCUAGUUGGUGGGGUAACGGCCUACCAAGGCGACGAUCCGUAGCUGAUCUUAGAGGAUGAUCAGCCACACUGGGACUGAGACACGGCCCAGACUCCUACGGGAGGCAGCAGUGGGGAAUCUUGGACAAUGGGCGCAAGCCUGAUCCAGCCAUGCCGCGUGAGUGAAGAAGGUCUUCGGAUUGUAAAGCUCUUUUGCCAGGGACGAUAAUGACGGUACCUGGAGAAUAAGCCCCGGCAAACUUCGUG